GGAACAAGGGACAAACCCUGGAGCUUUGGGUGGGUGGCUUUUGAUGCUUCUCCUUUAGAGCAGUGGAGACUAUUGCCCCUUCCCUGGAAUCUAUUGGUCUGCUAUGACCGAUAGGAUGUGACACUGUGUGACUUCCCAGGUGUCUUGGAUUUUUUGCUGCUGCAACUAAAAGAAAAAAAAAAAUUUGAGGGAAAGUUUAUUUGGGGGCUUGUGGUUUCAGAGGUCUCAGUCCAUAGACAGCAGGCUCCAUACCCAAGGGCUCCAGGUGAGGCAGAACUUCAUAGCCGAAGAGUGUGGCAGAGGGAAGCAGUUCACAUCGUGAUCAGGAAGCAGAGAGAGACUCCACUCUCCAGAGACAAAUAGAGACCCCUAUCUGCCUUCAGUUACCACUCAAUCCCAUCAGAUGAUUAAUUCACUAAUUGGGUUAAGGCUGUCAUAACCCAAUUAUUUCUCUAAACCUUAUAUUAUCUCACACAUGAGCUUUUGGGGGACACCUCACAUCCAAACCAUAACACCAGGCUAGGUCAUAACAGGCCAAGCAGCUUCUCAGAACACCUGUUUCGGAGGAAGCCGAUGUAUGGAAGAAGGCCAGUUACCAUGAGAUGGCCAAGCUGUAGAGGUUAUGUAGGGUGUGGCUGAUGGUCCCAGAGGAGUUUAUUUCUAGCCAUCCCCAACCAGGUGCCAGACACAUGAAUGAAAUCAGCUUGGAGCCCUGAGUUCAACCCAUCUGCCUGCUGAGUACCAAAGUAACCUCCGUUGAAGCCAUAAGGAACUGAAUUGCCUAGCCAACCUGGGUCCCAGUUCUAACCAACUGAU
This 816-nucleotide long non-coding RNA is filed under the name Marmota monax (woodchuck). The record is from RNAcentral. Lineage: Eukaryota; Metazoa; Chordata; Mammalia; Rodentia; Sciuridae.